This 1517-nucleotide long non-coding RNA is filed under the name Nicotiana tabacum (common tobacco). RNAcentral describes it as "long non-coding RNA (NTAB_LNC003376)". Lineage: Eukaryota; Viridiplantae; Streptophyta; Magnoliopsida; Solanales; Solanaceae. The record is from RNAcentral.
AACAAUUAACUAAAUAGAAUUACAUACAUACACGUAUUUGUGAGUUAGAAACCGUGGUCCUAAGUCUUAACCAUGAUAAUCCAAAAUAAGAAAGUAAAAAUUAAUUUUUCAAUGUGUACUAAUGAUGGUAAUUGGUAAAUUCUUAUCUAGUUAUUACUAUAGUAUAAAAGCCAAAACAAGCAAAUAAAAAAAAGGUUGAAUUAGAACUUAUCCAAUACAACUCAAUUAUAUAUAUAUCCCUUACUUCAAUCAAACACAAUCAGAUUUUAACUAUUACAAACCUAACAAACAACAAACAACUCUCUUCUUCUUCUUCUACAUCUCCUCUCUCAAUAUUCAUUUCCUUUUUCCCAAUGGCAACGAGAAAAAACUUCCUCUUUCUCGGAGGAAAAGACAGAAUUACCCCUCUCCCAUCUAGCAGCCUCCAGUUUGAAUUUGAUGAAGCUGAAACAUGGUGUAACAACACUAGUUCAAACGAAAAUGUUGUUCAUAAUUCUGAAGCCAAAAUAUCAAUACCAAAUUCAAAAUUCUUGAAAAAACCAGGGAAAAAGAGUGAAAGAUCAAGGGCAAUUUCGUCAACAUCAUUGCCAGUGAAUAUACCGAAUUGGUCGAAAAUCUUAGGUGAUGAGUACAGGAGUUGUCCGAAAGAAAUUGAUGAUAAUAAUGUUGUUGAGGAUUUUGAUUAUGAAAGUGGAAUUCCACCACAUGAAUAUUUAGCAAGAACAAGAGUUGCUUCUUUUUCAGUACAUGAAGGUAUUGGAAGAACACUUAAAGGAAGAGAUUUGAGUAGGGUAAGAAAUGCUAUUUGGAAACAAACUGGUUUUGAAGAUUAGUAAAUCUUGAUUAAUUAGCAAGAGCAACAGUAAAUUUUCUCUGUGACUUAGAUUUAAGAUGUGGUUGAUUGUCGGUAGCCUAUAUUACAUCUCUUAUGGUGCGGUCCUUUUCUAUUAAUAUGUGUGAAUACGAGAUACUUUAUUCACUGAGAUACUUUUUUGAGUUUUUUUUAUUGGAUGAAUGGGUUAAUUUUUGUAAGUUAUUAAGGGGUUGGAUUGAUCCUCUAGUUUUGAUGGUUAUCUUUUAGUUGUGACUUCAAUUCAGAGGAUCUAAUGUAAUGUAAGUUUGUGUUACCUUAUUCACAUUUCUUUCCUUAGAUUUUGCAUAAUCUUUUGGAUUUUUGAAUUGAAUAUCAAUCUAGGGAUCAGUUUGUAAUUUUAAACUUGAUGAGUUUUGGAUUUGUACUGUGGAAUCUUAUCACCUAAUUAAUUUAUUUUUUCUUUGAUUAAUAUAUAAUGUUAUUCACUUUUCUUUCUUUCAUGUAGAUAGAUACCUUUUGCUUUAUGACUUUGAUUUGCUUUUCACCAAAAGCCAUACAAAAGAAAAGGAUAUUAACAUAUAUUGCAUGUUAGAAAUGCACUUACUAAUGAUUAUUCUAUGUGCAAUUCACAAAUUUCAUAUAUAUAUUUAGUAUACCGAAAACUUUUAUUAUUUCUUUGUACCAAAUGAUAGAUAAGUAAAGG